This 253-nucleotide ribosomal RNA is filed under the name uncultured bacterium. Its description in RNAcentral is "partial 16S ribosomal RNA". It matches the Rfam family "Bacterial small subunit ribosomal RNA", at positions 524 to 776 of the family's 1533-position model. The record is from RNAcentral.
CACGUAGGGCGCAAGCGUUGUCCGGAAUUAUUGGGCGUAAAGAGCUCGUAGGCGGCUUGUCGCGUCGACCGUGAAAACUUGGGGCUCAACCCCAAGCCUGCGGUCGAUACGGGCAGGCUCGAGUUCGGUAGGGGAGACUGGAAUUCCUGGUGUAGCGGUGAAAUGCGCAGAUAUCAGGAGGAACACCGGUGGCGAAGGCGGGUCUCUGGGCCGAUACUGACGCUGAGGAGCGAAAGCGUGGGGAGCGAACAGG